GCCAGUGGAGGACCGAACCCGCAGGCGUUGAAAAGUCUUGGGAUGACUUGUGGAUAGGGGUGAAAGGCCAAUCAAACUUCGUGAUAGCUGGUUCUCUCCGAAAUAUAUUUAGGUAUAGCCUUGUGUUGUAGCAUAUGGGGGUAGAGCACUGAAUGGGCUAGGGCUGCUUACCGCGGUACCAAACCCUAUCAAACUAUGAAUACUAUAUGUGGAAUCACAGGAGUCAGGCGGUGGGUGAUAAAAUCAAUCGUCGAGAGGGGAACAACCCAGACUAACAGCUAAGGUCCCUAAGUUACAUCUAAGUGGAAAACGAUGUGGAGUUACUGUGACAACCAGGAGGUUGGCUUAGAAGCAGCCAUCCUUUAAAGAAAGCGUAACAGCUCACUGGUCUAGUGAUUCUGCGCGGAAAAUAUAACGGGGCUAAGAUGUACACCGAAGCUUUAGAUUCAAUUUUUAAUUGAGUGGUAGGAGAGCGUUCUAUUCAGCGUAGAAGAUGUACCGGUAAGGAGCGUUGGAGCGGAUAGAAGUGAGCAUGCAGGCAUGAGUAGCGAUAAUUGAGGUGAGAAUCCUCAACGCCGAAAACCCAAGGUUUCCUACGCGAUGCUCGUCAUCGUAGGGUUAGUCGGGACCUAAGUCGAGUCCGAAAGGGGUAGACGAUGGCAAAUUGAUUAAUAUUUCAAUACCAACAUAUAAGCGCGAUGUGGGGACGCAUAGAGUUAAUCGAGGUCACUGAUGGAAUAGUGGCUCGAAGGACGUAGGCUGUUAAGUAGGCAAAUCCGCUUAACAUUAGGCCGAGAUCUUACAGGCUCUUGACACUCUUCGGAGGAGAUGGAGAAUCGAUGAUACUGUCGUGCCAAGAAAAGCCACUAAGUUUAUUAUAUGUUGCCCGUACCGUAAACCGACACAGGUGGGUGGGAUGAGUAUUCUAAGGCGCGUGGAAGAACCCUGGUUAAGGAACUCUGCAAACUAGCACCGUAUCUUCGGUAUAAGGUGUGCCUACUUUUGUAUAUGAACUUGCUUCAAAAAGCGAAAGAGGUUGCAACAAAGAGUCCCUCCCGACUGUUUACCAAAAACACAGCACUUUGCUAACACGUAAGUGGAUGUAUAAGGUGUGACGCCUGCCCGGUGCUCGAAGGUUAACUGAUGAUGUCAGCGCAAGCGAAGCAUUUGAUUGAAGCCCGAGUAAACGGCGGCCGUAACUAUAACGGUCCUAAGGUAGCGAAAUUCCUUGUCGGUUAAAUACCGACCUGCAUGAAUGGCGUAACGAGAUGGGAGCUGUCUCAACCAGGGAUCCAGUGAAAUUGUAGUGGAGGUGAAAAUUCCUCCUACCCGCGGAAAGACGGAAAGACCCCGUGCACCUUUACUACAGCUUGACACUGUAGCUUGGAUAUUCAUGUGCAGGAUAGGUGGGAGGCUAUGAUGACUAGACGCCAGUAGAGUCGGAGCCAUCCUUGAGAUACCACCCUUGAAUAUUUGAGUUACUAACUGCGUACAAUUAUCUUGUAUCAGGACAAUGUCUGGUGGGUAGUUUGACUGGGGCGGUCGCCUCCUAAAAAGUAACGGAGGCUUACAAAGGUUAGUUCAAAGCGGAUGGAAAUCGCUUGUUGAGUAUAAUGGCAUAAACUAGCUUGACUGUGAGACAUACAAGUCGAACAGAGACGAAAGUCGGUCAUAGUGAUCCGGUGGUUCUGUGUGGAAGGGCCAUCGCUCAAAGGAUAAAAGGUACGCCGGGGAUAACAGGCUGAUCUCCCCCAAGAGCUCACAUCGACGGGGAGGUUUGGCACCUCGAUGUCGGCUCAUCGCAUCCUGGGGCUGUAGUCGGUCCCAAGGGUAUGGCUGUUCGCCAUUUAAAGCGGUACGCGAGCUGGGUUCAGAACGUCGUGAGACAGUUCGGUCCCUAUCUUCCGUGGGCGUAGGAAAGUUGAAGAGAUUUGUCCCUAGUACGAGAGGACCGGGAUGAACGUACCACUGGUGUACCAAUUGUUCUGCCAAGAGCAUCGUUGGGUAGCUACGUACGGAUGUGAUAAGAGCUGAAAGCAUCUAAGCUCGAAGCCAACUCUAAGAUUAACUUUCCCUGAAGUUCCCAGCAAGACUAGCUGGUUGAUAGGCUGGAUGUGUAAGCGUUGUAAGACGUUUAGCUGACCAGUACUAAUAGAACGUUUGGCUUAUUUUU
RNAcentral lists this ribosomal RNA (2173 nucleotides) under Aliarcobacter butzleri. RNAcentral describes it as "partial 23S ribosomal RNA". It matches the Rfam family "Bacterial large subunit ribosomal RNA", at positions 762 to 2925 of the family's 2925-position model. The record is from RNAcentral. Lineage: Bacteria; Pseudomonadati; Campylobacterota; Epsilonproteobacteria; Campylobacterales; Arcobacteraceae.